Molecule: ribosomal RNA, 460 nt
Filed under: uncultured bacterium
Lineage: Bacteria
Description: partial 16S ribosomal RNA
Rfam family: Bacterial small subunit ribosomal RNA
Source: RNAcentral
CCUACGGGUGGCAGCAGUGAGGAAUAUUGGUCAAUGGGCGUAAGCCUGAACCAGCCAAGUCGCGUGAGGGAUGAAGGUUCUAUGGAUCGUACACCUCUUUUAUAUGGGAAUAAAGUGUGGGACGUGUCCUGUUUUGUAUGUACCUUAUGAAUAAGGAUCGGCUAACUCCGUGCCAGCAGCCGCGGUAAUACGGAGGAUCCGAGCGUUAUCCGGAUUUAUUGGGUUUAAAGGGUGCGUAGGUGGCCUUUUAAGUCAGCGGUGAAAGUUUGUGGCUCAACCAUAGAAUUGCCGUUGAAACUGGGAGGCUUGAGUAUGUUUGAGGCAGGCGGAAUGCGUGGUGUAGCGGUGAAAUGCUUAGAUAUCACGCAGAACCCCGAUUGCGAAGGCAGCCUGCCAGGCCAUGACUGACGCUGAUGCACGAAAGCGUGGGGAUCAAACAGGAUUAGAUACCCCUGUAGUC